Molecule: long non-coding RNA, 233 nt
Organism: Homalodisca vitripennis (glassy-winged sharpshooter)
Lineage: Eukaryota; Metazoa; Arthropoda; Insecta; Hemiptera; Cicadellidae
Exons: 3
Source: RefSeq, a predicted model, not a curated record
AAACAACCGGGCAAUGUCUUCUCGUACGAGGCUAUAGAACAAUUGAAUAUAAAGACAAAAUCUUGGAAGGAUUUGCUCACCGAUGAACCAUACAAAAAAAUCAGACUUAAUCACACUUCAAGAUCCUACAAAUCUGACAAAAUUCAACCUGACUACAUUUCAUCAUAUCAAGAACAAUCUAAGAGUAGAAACUGAAGAUGAACUGGAAGCUAAAGGGAACCCUGAAGCUCGGC